RNAcentral lists this ribosomal RNA (468 nucleotides) under uncultured bacterium. RNAcentral describes it as "partial 16S ribosomal RNA". It matches the Rfam family "Bacterial small subunit ribosomal RNA", at positions 28 to 507 of the family's 1533-position model. The record is from RNAcentral.
GACGAACGCUGGCGGCGUGCUUAACACAUGCAAGUCGAACGGAAAGGCCCUGCUUUUGUGGGGUGCUCGAGUGGCGAACGGGUGAGUAACACGUGAGUAACCUGCCCUUGACUUUGGGAUAACUUCAGGAAACUGGGGCUAAUACCGGAUAGGAGCUCCUGCUGCAUGGUGGGGGUUGGAAAGUUUCGGCGGUUGGGGAUGGACUCGCGGCUUAUCAGCUUGUUGGUGGGGUAGUGGCUUACCAAGGCUUUGACGGGUAGCCGGCCUGAGAGGGUGACCGGCCACAUUGGGACUGAGGUACGGCGCAGACUGCUACGUGAGGCAGCAGUGGGGAAUAUUGCACAAUGGGCGGAAGCCUGAUGCAGCAACGCCGCGUGCGGGAUGACGGCCUUCGGGUUGUAAACCGCUUUCGCCUGUGACGAAGCGUGAGUGACGGUAAUGGGUAAAGAAGCACCGGCUAACUACGUG